RNAcentral lists this ribosomal RNA (250 nucleotides) under uncultured bacterium. Its description in RNAcentral is "partial 16S ribosomal RNA". It matches the Rfam family "Bacterial small subunit ribosomal RNA", at positions 525 to 775 of the family's 1533-position model. The record is from RNAcentral.
ACGUAGGUGGCAAGCGUUGUCCGGAAUUAUUGGGCGUAAAGGGUGCGCAGGCGGUCUCUUAAGUCUGUCUUAAAAGUGCGGGGCUUAACCCCGUGAGGGGACGGAAACUGGGAGACUGGAGUAUCGGAGAGGAAAGCAGAAUUCCUAGUGUAGCGGUGAAAUGCGUAGAUAUUCGGAGGAAUACCAGUGGCGAAAGCGGCUUUCUGGCCGACAACUGACGCUGAGGCACGAAAGCCAGGGGAGCGAACGG